Long non-coding RNA from Ruditapes philippinarum (Manila clam), 352 nucleotides. RefSeq lists it as uncharacterized. The record is from RefSeq and is a predicted model, not a curated record. The transcript has 3 exons. NCBI's taxonomy places the organism in Eukaryota, Metazoa, Mollusca, Bivalvia, Venerida, Veneridae.
UCCCGCAAAUUUUGAUCAUGUGACUAGUUUUGUCAUUGUUGAAGCGGCUUUGUAAAAUUUAAGUUCAGACAUUUUCUUGGUGUUUUAAAUUUAUUUAAAAUUUGGAUUAUUGAUAGUUGAAAUUACAGCACAGAGAGUUUGGAAGUAUGUGUGUUUUGAAGAAGAUGAUGUAAUAUGAUAUAAUUGUACAUUCAGUUCCAUAAACUGAGUGUUGAUCGAUUCGAUUGAUUGAGAUUUAUUGAAGGUUUAUUGACGAUUCAUUGACGAUUGAUUUUGUCGAUAUUUGGAUAUGUAAGAUUGAUAUACAUGUAUGUGUCAGAACUAGAAGAUAAAUAAAUACAUUAGAACUGUG